This 479-nucleotide ribosomal RNA is filed under the name uncultured organism. Its description in RNAcentral is "partial 16S ribosomal RNA". It matches the Rfam family "Bacterial small subunit ribosomal RNA", at positions 329 to 799 of the family's 1533-position model. The record is from RNAcentral.
ACGUACACUCCUGCGGGAGGCAGCAGUGGGGAAUUUUGGACAAUGGGCGAAAGCCUGAUCCAGCCAUGCCGCGUGCAGGAUGAAGGCCUUCGGGUUGUAAACUGCUUUUGUACGGAACGAAACGGCCUUUUCUAAUAAAGAGGGCUAAUGACGGUACCGUAAGAAUAAGCACCGGCUAACUACGUGCCAGCAGCCGCGGGAAUACGUAGGGUGCAAGCGUUAAUCGGAAUUACUGGGCGUAAAGCGUGCGCAGGCGGUUAUGUAAGACAGUUGUGAAAUCCCCGGGCUCAACCUGGGAACUGCGUCUGUGACUGCAUAGCUAGAGUACGGUAGAGGGGGAUGGAAUUCCGCGUGUAGCAGUGAAAUGCGUAGAUAUGCGGAGGAACACCGAUGGCGAAGGCAAUCCCCUGGACCUGUACUGACGCUCAUGCACGAAAGCGUGGGGAGCAAACAGGAUUAGAAACCCGAGUAGUCCCAUG